RNAcentral lists this ribosomal RNA (483 nucleotides) under uncultured bacterium. RNAcentral's name for it is "partial 16S ribosomal RNA". It matches the Rfam family "Bacterial small subunit ribosomal RNA", at positions 355 to 828 of the family's 1533-position model. The record is from RNAcentral.
UGGGGAAUAUUGCACAAUGGGCGCAAGCCUGAUGCAGCCAUGCCGCGUGUGUGAAGAAGGCCUUCGGGUUGUAAAGCACUUUCAGCGAGGAGGAAGGUGGUGAACUUAAUACGUUCAUCAAUUGACGUUACUCGCAGAAGAAGCACCGGCUAACUCCGUGCCAGCAGCCGCGGUAAUACGGAGGGUGCAAGCGUUAAUCGGAAUUACUGGGCGUAAAGCGCACGCAGGCGGUUUGUUAAGUCAGAUGUGAAAUCCCCGGGCUCAACCUGGGAACUGCAUUUGAAACUGGCAAGCUAGAGUCUCGUAGAGGGGGGUAGAAUUCCAGGUGUAGCGGUGAAAUGCGUAGAGAUCUGGAGGAAUACCGGUGGCGAAGGCGGCCCCCUGGACGAAGACUGACGCUCAGGUGCGAAAGCGUGGGGCAGCAAACAGGAUUAGAUACCCUGGUAGGUCCACGCUGUAAACGAUGUCGAUUUGGAGGUUGUG